Molecule: unclassified non-coding RNA, 345 nt
Filed under: soil metagenome
Description: partial contains 5.8S ribosomal RNA, internal transcribed spacer 2, and large subunit ribosomal RNA
Rfam family: 5.8S ribosomal RNA (bases 1-120)
Source: RNAcentral
GAUGAAGAACGUAGUGAAAUGCGAUACGUAAUGUGAAUUGCAGAAUUCAGUGAAUCAUCGAGUCUUUGAACGCACAUUGCGCCCCCUGGUAUUCCGGGGGGCAUGCCUGUCCGAGCGUCAUUGCUGCCCUCAAGCACGGCUUGUGUGUUGGGCCUCCGUCCUCCUCCCGGGGGACGGGCCCGAAAGGCAGCGUCGGCACCGCGUCCGGUCCUCGAGCGUAUGGGGCUUCGUCACCCGCUCUUGUAGGCCCGGCCGGCGCUUGCCGACACAUCAAUCUUUUUUCCAGGUUGACCUCGGAUCAGGUAGGGAUACCCGCUGAACUUAAGCAUAUCAAUAAGCGGAGGA